This 402-nucleotide ribosomal RNA is filed under the name bacterium. Its description in RNAcentral is "partial 16S ribosomal RNA". It matches the Rfam family "Bacterial small subunit ribosomal RNA", at positions 355 to 776 of the family's 1533-position model. The record is from RNAcentral.
UGGGGAAUUUUCGACAAUGGGGGAAACCCUGAUGCAGCGACGCCGCGUGAUUUAGAAGGCCUUCGGGUUGUAAAAAUCUUUUUUACGGAAUGAAAAUGACAGUACCGUAAGAAUAAGGUCCGGCUAAAUACGUGCCAGCAGCCGCGGUAAUACGUAUGGACCGAGCGUUGUCCGGAAUCAUUGGGCGUAAAGGGUACGUAGGCGGCCGAGUAAGUUAGAAGUGAAAUAAUAUAGCUCAACUAUAUAAAGCUUUUAAAACUGCUAGGCUUGGAGGAUGGAAGGGAAGGUGGAAUUCCUAGUGUAGCGGUGAAAUGCGCAAGUAUUAGAAAGAAUACCGGGGGCGAAGGCGACUUUCUGGUCAUCAUCUGACGCUGAGGUACGAAAGCGUGGGUAGCAAACAGG